RNAcentral lists this ribosomal RNA (397 nucleotides) under uncultured bacterium. RNAcentral's name for it is "partial 16S ribosomal RNA". It matches the Rfam family "Bacterial small subunit ribosomal RNA", at positions 523 to 918 of the family's 1533-position model. The record is from RNAcentral.
AUACGUAGGGGGCGAGCGUUGUCCGGAAUGACUGGGCGUAAAGGGCGUGUAGGCGGCCGAUUAAGUCUGGAGUGAAAGUCCUGCAUUCAAUGUGGGAAUUGCUUUGGAGACUGGUUGGCUUGAGUGCGGAAGAGGUAAGUGGAAUUCCCAGUGUAGCGGUGAAAUGCGUAGAGAUUGGGAGGAACACCGGUGGCGAAGGCGGCUUCCUGGACAGUAACUGACGCUGAGGCGCGAAAGCGUGGGGAGCAAACAGGAUUAGAUACCCUGGUAGUCCACGCCAUAAACGAUGAAUACUAGGUGUAGGGGGUAUCGACUCCCUCUGUGCCGCAGUUAACACAAUAAGUAUUCCGCCUGGGGAGUACGGCCGCAAGGUUGAAACUCAAAUGAAUUGACGGGG